RNAcentral lists this long non-coding RNA (6298 nucleotides) under Malus domestica (apple). RNAcentral's name for it is "long non-coding RNA (MDOM_LNC009932)". The record is from RNAcentral. Lineage: Eukaryota; Viridiplantae; Streptophyta; Magnoliopsida; Rosales; Rosaceae.
CUUCUGAAAUAUGGAAUGUGAGAAAUCUUAGGCCACUCUGUGCCGCUGUCCCUGCUGCAUCUUUCCUCUAAAAGGGGAUGACAUCCAUAAAUCCUUGGAGAUUGUAAGUUGGUGAGGCGUUGCAUAGCUUGGACACUUGGUAAAUUCAUCAGAUUCUUGCAAUCCCAAAUCCACAGCUCUUAAGGGAUGUAAGGCUACCCAACCAUUCUGGUAAAGUCUCCACUCCGUCAAUGCAGAAGUUGGAGCCAUGUGGAGUCGUUGUACAUACAACUGGAAUAAAAGUAAUCUUGGAGAACUGUGGCCUUGCACACCAUGAAAUUUGGUAAGGUGCUGCCUACCAUCGAUUCAACUGCUGUGUGACUUAAAAAGGAGAAGGAUAAACAAAUUUUGUUAUAGUACGUGCUUUGAAUUUUUGUGUAGUAAUAGUGGAGACACAGAAUAAAAAAACAAAAGAGAUAAACCUAUAACGUGAGCUCUGUAAUUUGAUUUCAAUAAUUUUAAAACAUACUUAGGAUAAGUGGAAUGUGAGAAAUCUUAGGUCAAUCUGUGCCAUUGUCCCUGGUGCAUCUUUGCUUUAGAAGGGGAUGACAUUCAUAAAUAGUCAGAGUAUGUAAGUUGGCUCGGCGUUGCAUAGCUUGGACACUAGGUAAAUUCAUCAGAUUCUUGCAAUCUUGAAUGUCCAUCUCUGUAAAGUAUGUAAGGUUACCCAACCAUUCUGGCAAUGUCUCCACUCUGUCAAAUUGAUAUAUCACCAAAAAUGUUAGAAGUGAGGUGUUGAAUUUGUUGAGGCGGAGACUUGAGCUUAGGCCAACCAUACAAGGCUAAAAAUCAGGGAAGGAAUCGAGCUCCUCCCAGAACCGACCGAUUUCCAAAUGAUGGAGAGAAUGGAGGCUGUCUAAACUUGGAAGACUCUCUAAAUUCGGGAUGUCUCUUAUUGUCAGCGCCUCAAACGAGAGUGGGAAUUGCAGGCUUGAAAAUUAUCUUGAGUAAUUGAAGAUUCUUUUACCUAAUUUUUGCAAUAACAGGGUAUUUGACAUUUCAUCAAGUUAGUCAAGGGAUAUGAAAUAGAGAUAAAUAAAUCAACCAAAUUCAAAUCACUGUUUAUACGAUUUGAACACUGUUCAUAAAUCACAAGUCGGUCGUACCCAGUGCACAAGGCUCCCGCUUUACGCAUGGUCUGGGAGAGGUGAAUGUCGGCUAGCCUUACCCCCAUUUAUGGAGAGGCUGCUCCCAAGUCUCGAACCCGAGACCUACCGCUCAUGGGCGAAGGCACUUGCCAUCGCACCACUUGUUCAUAAAUCACAAGUAACCAUAAAAAUAUCAGUCCAAAAUCUUCAUAAGGAUAACAAUAACAAACAGAAAGUAAUUGCAGUAGUUCUAAAUAUUAUAUGAACAUGGUUUUACAUGAUGACAAUUCUUGGCAUUACUCAUCUAACACUACUUGGGUGCUGGCAGUGUGUGAUUAAACAAGAUUCAAUACCAUGAUGGGUGAUCAAGCUAGUGGUUCAGCACUCCACUCAUACAGAUGAACUAAAGAAAGUUAAAAUAUUGAUUGAUGUUGCCGGCAUUAAGAAAGAUAACAUGUAAAGGAGAAUGCCCAAGGACUAUAAAAAGAGGUAUAUUAUUGAGAAAUGAAGGUAGAGCGAGAGAAUUAAUAUUGUGUGCAUCAGUACCUGGAGUCAGUUUAUAGCUAUUGAGCAUCAUGAAAAACGCCACAGCAUAGCAAAAGAAAUAUAGAUGGCACUGGGAAACACACAACAUAUAUAGUAAGUCAGAAGUCAACAGUAGAAUGUAUUGAUCAAUUAGAAGUAGAAGAGAAGAGGAGAUGUGGGUUUGAAAAUCUUACAUGACUUAAUUUCAAUGCAAAAGUUUGAGCCAUUUGGAGUCGUUUGUACAUAAAACUGGAAUACAAGUAAUCUCGGAGAACUGUGGCCUUGCACAUCAUGAAAUUUGAUUUUCCCAAUACACAUUUGUUGUAGUAUCGCAAGGCAUUGCAUAGCUUCAAUCCAACUGUUGUCUCAGAAGUCUCAGCCCCAAACUGAUUUAAAAGAAGAGGGAGAAGGACAAACAAAUUAUGUUAUACUAGUUUAAAUUUGAGUGUAGUACUAGUGGAGACAUGGAAUAAAAGAAGCAAAGAGAUAAACAUAUAACGUCAGCUUUGUUAUUUGAUUUCAAUAAUUUAAAAACUUACUGUCGAUUUUUGGAAUGUGAGAAAUCUUAGGCCAAUCUGUGUCGUUGUCCCUGCUGCAUCUUUCUUCUAAAAGGGGAUGACAAAUCCAAAUCUCUAGGAAUUGUAAUUUGAUCAGACCACAACUGAUCAUUUAAAAGAAAAGGGAGAAGGAUAAACAAAUUACGUUAUACUAGUUUAAAUUUCAGUGUAGUACUAGUGGAGACACGGAAGAAAAGAACAAAGGAUAUAAACAUAUAACGUCAGCUCUGUUACUUGAUUUCAAUAAUUUAAAAAACUUACUUGUGAUAUCUGGAAUGUGAGAAAUCUUAGGCCAAUCUGUGCCGCUGUUCCUCAUGCAUCUUUGCUUUAGAAGAGGAUGGCAUCCAGAAAUAUACAGAGUUUGUAAUUUGGUGAGGCGUUGCAUAGCUUGGAAUCUUGGUAAAUUCCUCAGAUUCUCGCAAGACCAAAUCGUCAGCUCUGUAAGGAAUGUAAGGCUACCCAACCAUUCUGGCAAAGUCUCCACUCCGUCAAAUGAACAUAUCUCCAAAUGUGUUAGAGAAGUGAGGUGUUGAAUUUGUUGAGGCAGAGACUUGAGCUUAGGCCAACCCCACAACACUAAACUUGUAAGAUUCAUUAAUGAUGCAACUUGAAAAUCAGGAAAGGAAUCGAGCUCCUCCCAAAAUCCACCGAUAUCCAAAUGACGGAGAGAAUUAAGGCCGUCUAAACUUGGAAGAAUCUUUAAAUUAAGGAUACUGACUAUUGCCAGCGUCUCAAGAGAGAGUGGGAAUUGCAGGCUGCUCACCCAACUUUCUAAUCUUUCACAUCUUUCAAUCCACAUAAGUCGAAGGGAGGUCAUGAUGCGCAAAUCUGAAGUAGAUUGUAGACUAACUCCUCCUUCCCAACUCUGCUACUUUUGACACCAAACGAUGAUAGCUUUGGGCAUCCUCUUAUCCACAAUUCCUGAAGAGAUGGACAUUGUUGUGGAAGAACAGGUAUGCUUAUACUAGUUGUCUUAGAAGACUCAUUCCCAAACUGAUUUAAAAGAAGAGGGAGAAGGAUAAACAAAUUAUGUUAUAUUAAUUUAAAUUUGAGUGUAGUACUAGUGGAGACAUGGAAUAAAAGAAGAAAAGGGAUAAACAUAUGACAUCACCUCUGUAAUUUGAUUUCAAUAAUUUAAAAACUUACUUCUGAUAUCUGGAAUGUGAGAAAUCUUGCAUAGCUUCAAUCCAACUGUUGUCUCAGAAGAAGUCUCCUUCCCCAACUGAUUUAAAAGAAAAGGGAGAAGGAUAAACAAAUUAUGUUAUACUAGUUUAAAUUUGAGUGUAGCACCAGUGGAGACACGGAAUAAAAGAACAAAAGAGAUAAAUAUAUAACGUCACCUCUGUAAUUUGAUUUCAAUAAUUUAAAAAACUUACUUGUGAUAUCUGGAAUGUGAGAAAUCUUAGGCCAAUCUGUGCCGAUGUACCUGGUGCAUCUUUCCUCUAAAAGGGGAUGACAUCCAGAAAUCCAUGGUUUUUGUAAUUUGGUGAGGCGUUGCAUAGCUUGGACACUUGGUAAAUUCAUCAGAUUCAUCAAGUUACUCUAGCAAUAUCAACUACAGACACAAAAUCAAUAGUAUUCAAAUCACUCUGCAUACAAUUCAGAUAUUUCAAGUAGCCCCAAAACUAUCAGUCCAAAAUCUUCAUAAGAAAGCAAUUACAGCAGUUCUAUUUAUUAUAUCAACAUCAUUAUCCUGAAAACAAGUCUUGAGAUAAUAUAGAGUUAUAGACAAAUUUCCUCAUUGUGCAGGAAUCAAUGAAAUACGCAAACUGUAAGAGAUCAAAGAAACAAAUGUGGUAAAUCCACCACUACUAUUGUGAUCAGGAUAAAAAGUCAUUAGCAUGCAAUGGAUGAAAGGAUGAAACAAUAUCUUAAACAACAAACAACACAUUUCUGGAAAAAAAAAAAAAAACAAUAUCUUAUGCAUCAGUACCUGGAUUCUGUUUGCACCUACUGCACUACAUCGUUCCAGUUGCGUAGUUUCAAUCCAAGUAUUGUCUCAGACCUCAACUGAUCAUUUAAAAGAAAAGGGAGAAGGAUAAACAAAUUAUGUUAUACUAGUUUAAAUUUGAGUGUAGUACUAGUGGAGACACGAAAUAAAUGAAGAAAAGAGAUAAACACGUAACAUCAGCUCUGUAAUUUGAUUUCAAUAAUUUAAAAAACUUACUUGUGAUAUCUGGAAUGUGAGAAAUCUUAGGCCAAUCUGUGCCGCUGUCCCUCCUGCAUCUUUGAUUGAGAAGGGGAUGACAUCCCUCAAUACACAGAGUUUGUAAUUCAGUGAGGCGUUGCAUAGCUUCAAUCCAACUGUUGUCUCACAAGUAUCUGCCCCGAACUGAUUUAAAAGAAGAGGGAGAAGGAUAAACAAAUUAUGUUAUACUAGUUUAUAUUUGAGUGUAGUACUACUGGAGACACAGAAUAAAAGAAGAAAAAUGAUAUAAACAUAUAAUGUCAGCUCUGUGAUUUGAUUUCAAUAAUUUUAAAAACUUACUUAAGAUACGUGGAAUGUGAGAAAUCUUAGGCCAAUCUGUGCCGCUGUCCCUCUUGCAUCUUUCCUUUAGAAGGGGGUGACAUAUAAUUAUACGGAGAGUUUGUAAUUUGGUGAGGCGUUGCAUAGCUUGGACACUUGGUAAAUUCUUCAGAUUCUUGCAACCCCAAAUCCACAGUUGUGUAAGGGAUGUAAGGCUACCCAACCAUUUUGGCAAAGUCUCCACUCCCUCAAAGUGAUAUACAAACAAAUGUGUUAGAGAAGUGAGGCCUUGAAUUUGUUGAGGCAGAGACUUGAGCUUAGGCCAACCAUACAAGUAUAACCUUGUAAGAUGCAUUAAUGAUCCAACUUGAAAAUCAGGGAAGGAAUCGAGCUCCUCCCAGAACCCACCGAUUUCCAAAUCUUGGCAUUACUCAUCUAACACUACUUGGGCGCGGAUUUAAACUUGUCAUAGUACAAUGCUUGGAAAUAUCAUCUAGCAUAGCAACUGAAGAUUCUUUUACCUAAUUUCUGCAAAAAUGCGGGCAUUUGACAUUUCAUCAUGUUACUUAAGGGAUGUGAAAUAGAGAUAAAGAAAUCAACCAAAUUCAAAUCACUGUUCAUAAAUCACAAGUAACCAUAAAUUAUAUCAGCCCAAAAUCUUCAUAAGGAUAAUAACAAAGGAAUUGCAGUAAUUCUAUAUAUUAUAUGAACAUGGUUUUACAUGACUACAAAUCUUGGCAUUACUCAUCUAACACUACUUGGGCGAGGGCAGUGUGUGAUUAAACAAGAUUCAAUACUAUGAUGGAUAUUCAAGCUUGCGGUUCAGCACUUAUACAAAUGAACUAAAUAAAGUAAGCAUAUACCGAACUGAUGUUGCCGAAACUAAUAAAGAUAACAUGUAAAACAGAAUGCCCACGUGGUACCACGAAAAGAGGCUUGCUAGCUUGAUAAGGACUGUAACUUAAAGGUACAUCAUUGAGAAGGAAGGUAGAUCGAGAGAAUUAAUAUUUUGUGCAUCAGUACCUGGCCUCUGCUUGCACCUACUGCACUACAUCGUUCCAGUUGCGUAGUUUCAAUCCAAGUAUUGUCUCGGACCUCGUACUGAUCAUUUAAAAGAAGAGGGAGAAGGAUAAACAAAUUAUGUUAUACUAGUUUAAAUUUGAGUGUAGUACUACUGGAGACACGGAAUAAAAUAAGAAAAUAGAUUAACAUAUAAUAUAUACAACUCUUAGGAUAUUUGAUUUCAAUAAUUUAAAAACUUACUUGUGAUAUCUGGAAUGUGAGAAAUCUUAGGCCAAUCUGUGCCGCAGUUCUUGGUGCAUCUUUGCUCUAAAAGGGGAUGACAACCACGAAUCCCUAGAGUUUGUAAUUUGGUGAGGCGUUGCAUAGCUUGGACACUUGGUAAAUUCUUCAGAUUCUUGCAACCCCAAAUCCACAGAUAUGUAAGGGAUGUAAGGCUACCCAACCAUUCUGGCAAAGUCUCCACUCCCUCAAAGUCAUAUACAAACAAACCUGUUAGAGAAGUGAGGUGUUGAAUUUGUUGAGGCAGAGACUUGAGCUUAGGCCAACCAGACAAACUUAACGAUCUAAGAUGCAUUAAUGAUCCAACUUCAAAAUCAGGG